RNAcentral lists this ribosomal RNA (252 nucleotides) under uncultured bacterium. Its description in RNAcentral is "partial 16S ribosomal RNA". It matches the Rfam family "Bacterial small subunit ribosomal RNA", at positions 524 to 776 of the family's 1533-position model. The record is from RNAcentral.
UACGGGGGGGCAAGCGUUGUUCGGAAUUACUGGGCGUAAAGGGCUCGUAGGCGGCCAACUAAGUCAGACGUGAAAUCCCCAGGCUUAACCUGGGAACUGCAUUUGGGACUGCAAGGCUGGAGUACGGCAGAGGGAGGUGGAAUUCCACGUGUAGCAGUGAAAUGCGUAGAGAUGUGGAGGAACACCAAUGGCGAAGGCAGCCUCCUGGGCUAGUACUGACGCUCAUGCACGAAAGCGUGGGGAGCAAACAGG